This 466-nucleotide ribosomal RNA is filed under the name uncultured bacterium. RNAcentral describes it as "partial 16S ribosomal RNA". It matches the Rfam family "Bacterial small subunit ribosomal RNA", at positions 28 to 507 of the family's 1533-position model. The record is from RNAcentral.
GAUGAACGCUGGCGGCGUGCUUAACACAUGCAAGUCGAACGGAAAGGCUCCUGCUUGCAGGGGUACUCGAGUGGCGAACGGGUGAGUAACACGUGGGUGAUCUGCCCUGCACUUCGGGAUAAGCCGGGGAAACUGGGUCUAAUACCGGAUAGGACGAUGGGUUGGAUGCCAUUGUGGAAAGUUUUUCGGUGUGGGAUGAGCUCGCGGCCUAUCAGCUUGUUGGGGGGGUAAUGGCCUACAAAGGUGUCGACGGGUAGCCGGCCUGAGAGGGUGUACGGCCACAUUGGGACUGAGAUACGGCCCAGACUCCUAAGGGAGGCAGCAGUGGGGAAUAUUGCACAAUGGGCGCAAGCCUGAUGAAGCGACGCCGCGUGGGGGAUGACGGCCUUCGGGUUGUAAACUCCUUUCGCUAGGGACGAAGCGUUUUGUGACGGUACCUGGAGAAGAAGCACCGGCUAACUACGUG